ACGCACGCUGGCGGCGUGCUUAACACCUGCCAGUCGCACGGAAAGGCCCUGCUUUUGUGGGGUGCUCGAGUGGCGAACGGGUGAGUAACACGUGAGUAACCUGCCCUUGACUUUGGGAUAACUUCAGGAAACUGGGGCUAAUACCGGAUAGGAGCUCCUGCUGCCUGGUGGGGGUUGGAAAGUUUCGGCGGUUGGGGAUGGACUCGCGGCUUAUCAGCUUGUUGGUGGGGUAGUGGCUUACCAAGGCUUUGACGGGUAGCCGGCCUGAGAGGGUGACCGGCCACGUUGGGACUGAGAUACGGCCCAGACUCCUAGGGGAGGCAGCAGUGGGGAAUAUUGCACAAUGGGCGGAAGCCUGAUGCAGCAACGCCGCGUGCGGGAUGACGGCCUUCGGGUUGUAAACCGCUUUCGCCUGUGACGAAGCGUGAGUGACGGUAAUGGGUAAAGAAGCACCGGCUAACUACGUG
This 467-nucleotide ribosomal RNA is filed under the name uncultured bacterium. RNAcentral describes it as "partial 16S ribosomal RNA". It matches the Rfam family "Bacterial small subunit ribosomal RNA", at positions 29 to 507 of the family's 1533-position model. The record is from RNAcentral.